This 105-nucleotide non-coding RNA is filed under the name Heterosigma akashiwo. The record is from RNAcentral. Lineage: Eukaryota; Raphidophyceae; Chattonellales; Chattonellaceae.
AAACAGAAAUGCAAACGGAUUAUCAAGGAAAUUUUCACAGAUAGUUAGCUAAAUCUUUUAAAUACAUUUCUUACUUUCGUAUAUUUCCUUUUCCUUGUUGCAGUU